AAACUUAAAGGAAUUGACGGGGACCCGCACAAGCAGCGGAGCGUGUGGUUUAAUUCGUUGCUACACGAAGAACCUUACCUGGGUUUGACAUAUAGGUUGUAGGGAACUGAAAAGGGACCGACCCUUCGGGAGCCUAUACAGGUGUUGCAUGGCUGUCGUCAGCUCGUGUCGUGAGAUGUUCGGUUAAGUCCGCUAACGAGCGCAACCCUCGUCGUAUGUUAUAUGUGUCAUACGAGACUGCCGGUAAAAGCCGGAGGAAGGUGAGGAUGAUGUCAAGUCAGCAUGACCUUUAUAUCCAGGGCUACACACACGCUACAAUGGUCUGUACAAUGGGUAGCCAAGCCGCGAGGCGGAGCCAAUCCUGAAAGCAGGCCUCAGUUCAGAUUGCAGUCUGCAACUCGACUGCAUGAAGCCGGAGUUGCUAGUAACCGCAGGUCAGCAAUACUGCGGUGAAUACGUUCCCGGGUCUU
RNAcentral lists this ribosomal RNA (470 nucleotides) under uncultured Anaerolineaceae bacterium. RNAcentral's name for it is "bacterial SSU rRNA". It matches the Rfam family "Bacterial small subunit ribosomal RNA", at positions 897 to 1382 of the family's 1533-position model. Lineage: Bacteria; Bacillati; Chloroflexota; Anaerolineae; Anaerolineales; Anaerolineaceae. The record is from RNAcentral.